AGUCAGUCUUGCUGUUUGAGAUGUUGAGGAGUUAUUAAGGCAUUUUGUAUCAUGUUUUAAAACGAUAAACGGACCAAAAACAGGCAGAUCAGGCAACAGAGGGCAGGCAACAGAGGGCACACAGACAGCAGAGCUGGGGACGGAUGGGCAGAGGCAGACAGGGAGUCUCAGGAGACAGACUGUGAGGCAGUGAGGGUGGUUAAAGGGAAAGAGCCAAGGAGAGAGACUUCAGAGGACAGUGUCACAGCCACGGCAGGACCAGGUGUCAACCUUGUUGCCAGCAGCACCAGUAUAGGGGACAGUGUCACAGCCACGGCAGGACCAGGUGUCAACCUUGUUGCCAGCUGCACCAGUAUAGGGGACAGUGUCACAGCCACGGCAGGACCAGGUGUCAACCUUGUUGCCAGCUGCACCAGUAUAGGGGACAGUGGCACAGCAUUGUCCAGUUACCUCAGUGAUGGCACGAAACCAUAUCAGCCACACCCACAAUUUAUAGAACCGCAAACUCUUGCCAACAGAGUGUUGAUAUUUCAAGAGAGAUGGUUUCGCGAUUUCCCCUGGCUACAUUAUAAUCCAUCAAUAAAAGGAGUUGUUUUCACUGUAGCCAAGGGUUUUCAAGCCAGCCAUCUUUUGGCCAAAGAGCGGAUGCUGCCUUCAUUAGUGCAGGAUUUAGGAACUGGAGAAAAGCCAUUGUAAAAUUCACAGCACAUCAAAACUGCCAAACCCACCGCCACUGUGUAACUGUAACAGCACACCAGCUAAAUCCAAUCAGUGUCCAGUUAUCCAGCGCGUGGGGUAAACAGCAGAAAUUACAAAAGUUACCUUGCACUGUAUGAGAAAGCAACAACAUUGAUUGAAUUCAUUGAGACACUCAAUACGAUUUGCUGGCAAAGCAGUGGAUCACUAUAGGACAGAAUUUUUUAAAGUGUUGGAUGGUGUGGAGGUUCAGUUUGGCGACUGUUUUGACCAGGACAGUCUAAACAUUCUGUAAAAUUUGGAAAGAGUGCUUCUCACGGGGGAGUUGGAUGAGUCUCUAGAUCAGUACCCUGAGCUGAACAUAGAUUCUCUUUCAGUGCAGUUGCCUCUCUUUCGCAACCAAUACCCCUGUAGCAGCAGUUGAGAGGCAGCAGAGGUCCUCAGGAGGCUUCCAGUGGAGGUGCGGGGGUUGGUUGACCAAGUUGAGGUGCUGAUCAGAAUUUUGUCUGUAAUGUACGUAAAGACAGGCUGGACAGUCUUGAGGGAAAAUAUCUGCCAGCAAUUUGUUGGAUCCAUUGAAACCCUCAAACAUAUGUUUGGUUCUUUUGUUCAGUGGUGUGUAUAGCAGUGGUUCUCAACCUUUUUUGAGUACUGGAACCCCUGCAUAUUUUGAGGAAAGGCAGGCAAGGUUUUGAGUGGUCCUCAGGGACCUCCACCCCCUCUAUAUUAUAUGUAAAGUUAGUGGAAUCCUUGUGCUGCUGAAUACGUUCAUUACACUUUUUUAUUUCAUGGACUCCUUGCCAUUACACCAGGGACCCCUAGGGGUCCACCUACCCUGUUUGAGAACCCCUGGUGUAUAGUAUGAUAUUUGUUAUUUUGUUUAGUAGUUUUUAGUACACAGUACACUUACUAAUUAUUUAUUUAAUUUAAAAUUGUAUACUUUGUGUGACAUACUUGUCCAUAGCUGUUGUUUGAAGAGUUGAGACACUGACGGAACAAUAACUAAGUAUUUCUGAAGGAUAUUUUGGUUGAUUUGUUUGGGUUUUUCAUUGAAGUAGUUAUUUUACUUUUAGAACUGUACUUAUUCUGAACGUUUUGUUCUUGUAAAGAUGUUGUAAUAGACUCAAACCAGUGGCACAUAUUUAAUGACUAUAUAUGUUACAUGACUAUAUAGUGGGGCAAAAAAGUAUUUAGUCACCCACCAAUUGUGCAAGUUCUCCCACUU
Molecule: long non-coding RNA, 1921 nt
Organism: Oncorhynchus tshawytscha (Chinook salmon)
Lineage: Eukaryota; Metazoa; Chordata; Actinopteri; Salmoniformes; Salmonidae
Source: Ensembl